RNAcentral lists this ribosomal RNA (218 nucleotides) under uncultured bacterium. Its description in RNAcentral is "partial 16S ribosomal RNA". It matches the Rfam family "Bacterial small subunit ribosomal RNA", at positions 1283 to 1500 of the family's 1533-position model. The record is from RNAcentral.
GGUACUCAGUUCGGAUUGCAGGCUGCAACCCGACUACAUGAAGCUGGAAUCGCUAGUAAUCGCGGAUCAGAAUGCCGCGGUGAAUACGUUCCCGGGUCUUGUACACACCGCCCGUCACACCAUGGGAGUCGGAAAUGCCCGAAGUCUGUGACCCAACCUUAGGGAGGGGGCAGCCGAAGGCAGGUCGGAUGACUGGGGUGAAGUCGUAACAAGGUACC